Molecule: ribosomal RNA, 407 nt
Filed under: uncultured cyanobacterium
Lineage: Bacteria; Bacillati; Cyanobacteriota
Description: bacterial SSU rRNA
Rfam family: Bacterial small subunit ribosomal RNA
Source: RNAcentral
UGGGGAAUUUUACGCAAUGGGGGAAACCCUGACGUAGCGACACCGCGUGAGCGAAGAAGCCCUUUGGGGUGUAAAGCUCUGUCGGCUGGGACGAAACAAAUGACGGUACCAGCAAAGGAAGCAUCGGCUAACUACGUGCCAGCAGCCGCGGUAAGACGUAGGAUGCAAGCGUUGUCCGGAUUCAUUGGGCGUAAAGAGUUCGUAGGCGGUUUGUUAAGUCUGAUGUUAAAGAUCGGGGCUCAACCUCGGGAGUGCAUUGGAUACUGGCAGACUGGAGUGCAGUAGAGGCGAGUGGAAUUCCCAGUGUAGCGGUGAAAUGCGUAGAUAUUGGGAAGAACACCGGUGGCGCAGGCGACUCGCUGGGCUGUUACUGACGCUGAGGAACGAAAGCCAGGGGAGCAAAUGGG